Long non-coding RNA from Rosa rugosa (rugosa rose), 655 nucleotides. RefSeq lists it as uncharacterized. The transcript is spliced from 4 exons. NCBI's taxonomy places the organism in Eukaryota, Viridiplantae, Streptophyta, Magnoliopsida, Rosales, Rosaceae. The record is from RefSeq and is a predicted model, not a curated record.
UAAUAUUAUAUGACACGGCCCUUUCAGGUCGAAACAGUGUUGGACAGUGUAAAAUGAGAUGACAAUGGUUUAGCGUUGCAAUAACUCCAGAUGUUGACACAGGAGCCAUCUUGAUGCAAAGGCUUUGCAAAUAGGGAAGCAGUGGCUACAACAAUCUCCUUCCUGAAGGUGACAUUCUACAGUCGGUCUCGAUCAACCCAGCGUGGAGUGUGGACAAAGGAAGACAGCUCCAAUAAUUUUAUUGAUGUCCAUGACAUCUUCCUUGACUCUGAUUGAGACUCUGCGUUUUUGGCCUAGUUUAGCCGGAACAUAUAUGAAGAAGAGAUCGACUUGCUGUUACACUGAUUGAUUUGUCAGAAGAUCAACAGAAUCUACAAUUGCAAAACGAAAAGGAGAACUAGCUAGUGGAAACCGGAAAGCCCUCGUGGACUAGACGACUACUAGAUGAGAAAUUGUUGUGUUAAAAAUCAGGGAAGAGGCAGAUGAUCUAUGUUGAGCACUAGAGCAGAACGAGGACAAGUCAUAUGUUAAUAAAUAAUCUAUACCAGUUGAUGGCAUGGUUUCUCAUUCCAUGGUUGCCCUUAAAGAUGGAAAAAUGGAAAAUCCUACGACGUAAAUUUUCUCAGUCGGGUAUCGAGGAAAAUAGAAGAUGUUC